This is a long non-coding RNA of Epinephelus moara (kelp grouper), 1051 nucleotides long. RefSeq lists it as uncharacterized. The record is from RefSeq and is a predicted model, not a curated record. Lineage: Eukaryota; Metazoa; Chordata; Actinopteri; Perciformes; Serranidae. The transcript is spliced from 2 exons.
UCAACUGGACAAUAUGGAGAUAUUUGCAUCUUGAAAGCCGGACUACAAAUGUGAAUAGACAGGGAGAAACACAGGCAAGCCUAAGACGUGGUAAGAUACAUAUUCCUCACUAUAUGAAGUGACUGAUAACAAGAUCUGUAUAAUGGAUUGUAAAGAUAUUCGUCAGGUUUUUAUUUUGUAGACAAUCAAUCUGUAUUUAUAGCGUGAUGUGAUGACAGUGCAAUGAUGUGUGUUGCAUCAUUGGAAAGCUCUGCUUAAAUAUGCGUGGCAUUUCUGUGCGAGCCUGCAUUCGCGAGUAAUUCAUCCAAGAGUAAUGUGUGUGCAGAGCUGCAUGAAAGCUCUGUUAUACAUAAUUUUAGUGUAAUUUUAUCAUUUUUUUUCGCUGUGAAAACAUUGGACUACCAACAAGUGCUUGGUCUUGUCAGAAAGCUAUGAUUCUGCUGUUUCACGUGAUAUGCGUGGAUUAUCGCUAUGACGCACGGUCGCGGAAAAUCAAUAGAGAAGAACAGGUGUGAAUUUGGACGCACUAUGCGUCGUUGGGGCCCAUAGGGUUAGACAGUGGAUCCCCUAAACCCCCCAAACUGAACCCAUCGUAAUGGGCUUUAAAAACCCAUCCAAAGCAGGCUUUUUGUCCCAGUUUGGAUGACAAAAACAGGGUCUCUUAUAUAGUUUGAGUGAGCAAAUAUAUGUAGUUUAGGAAACUGAUAUGUAUAUAUUGCUACUACAAGGAGUAGUACAAAUCUGUAUGGUAUUGUGGUAUCAUCAUGAGACGAUUGUUUGAUAGAGCGUACAGGUGAAAUUUGUUUGAAAGUUUCUUUUACCAGAUAUUUUUGGUUUGGUUUGUUCAGAUAGUCAUCGAUCACUGGUCAGUGUAUUUUAUAAACUAGAUUAAUGUCAGAUGUAAAUAAUGUGAUCCAGUUAUAAGAUCCACUGUUUGUAAAAGGUGUCACACAUAAACAGAAUUUAGCAGUAUAUGGAUGAUACACUGUUUGCCAGUUUUUAAUGACAUGUUGAAAUUAAAAGGUAACUGCGCAGUAUUAUUUAACCUGGA